This 429-nucleotide ribosomal RNA is filed under the name uncultured archaeon. Its description in RNAcentral is "bacterial SSU rRNA". It matches the Rfam family "Archaeal small subunit ribosomal RNA", at positions 474 to 903 of the family's 1478-position model. The record is from RNAcentral.
UACCAGCUCUCCGAGUUGUAGGGACGAUUAUUGGGCUUAAAGCGUCCGUAGCUGGCUUAGCAAGUCUCCUGUUAAAUUCAGCGACCUAAUCGUUGAGCCGCGGGAGAUACUACUAGGCUAGGAGGCGGGAGAGGUCGACGGUACUUUCGGGGUAGGGGUGAAAUCCUAUAAUCCCGGGAGGACCACCAGUGGCGAAGGCUGUCGACUAGAACGCGCUCGACGGUGAGGGACGAAAGCUGGGGUAGCGAACCGGAUUAGAUACCCGGGUAGUCCCAGCUGUAAACUAUGCGGGCUAGGUGUUGGGGUGGCUACGGGCCACUUCAGUGCCGCAGGAAGCCAUUAAGCCCGCCGCCUGGGGAGUACGGCCGCAAGGCUGAAACUUAAAGGAAGUUGGCGGGGGAGCACCACAAGGCGUGAAGCUCGCGGUUC